GGUGACAUAGCUCAGUUGGUAGAGUGCUUGCCUUGCAUGCACAAAGCCCUGGGUUCCAUCCCCAGCACCA
This 70-nucleotide transfer RNA is filed under the name Marmota marmota marmota (Alpine marmot). It matches the Rfam family "tRNA". From Rfam's summary of the family: Transfer RNA (tRNA) molecules are approximately 80 nucleotides in length. Their secondary structure includes four short double-helical elements and three loops (D, anti-codon, and T loops). RNAcentral also lists the same sequence under 1 other name. The record is from Rfam by way of RNAcentral. Lineage: Eukaryota; Metazoa; Chordata; Mammalia; Rodentia; Sciuridae.